Molecule: long non-coding RNA, 1154 nt
Filed under: Nicotiana tabacum (common tobacco)
Lineage: Eukaryota; Viridiplantae; Streptophyta; Magnoliopsida; Solanales; Solanaceae
Description: long non-coding RNA (NTAB_LNC001620)
Source: RNAcentral
AGCUGCCUAUUUGAGCUUAACCAAUGUAAAAGUGAAAUAGCUCUAGAAAAGAGUGGGGUUAUUCCGGCCGUAAAGCUGCAUUUAAGAACAAGUAUGCAAAUAUUAAACAGCAUAAUAUACACACAAUAUAAACCAGAAGUAUGCACUUCUCUGCAAACCUGUAUAUUGAAUAUGUCACAUAUAUAACUACAACAAUUCCUGUGAAAUACAACAAAUAUUGAAGAAGAAAAAAACAAACCACAUAUUCAGUAAACUACAGAUCUUGCACAAAUUGGUACUGUGUGCAAAAGUUAAUUAAUCGAACUUUGCCUAUAUAACAAACUCCAAUUAUCACAUCCAGAGAGGAUCUAUUAUGGGACAUACCAGUUCAUAGACUGCAACCAACUGCAACCAAAUAUACAUAAUAUACACGCUGUNNNNNNNNNNNNNNNNNNNNNNNNNGUACAUUUUUGUUCCUGAAAAACUCUAAAAAUCAGGAUGUAUAAAAGCUGUUUAGAGAGGCUACCAGAUGCCGUUUCUACUUAAAUUAGCCAUAUUCUAAUUGUUUGGGCCUGUAAAGUUGCAACACUCGGGCAAAAAAAAAAAGUACUCUUUAGUGAUCUAGCUUAGCAUUUGAGCUGCCUAUUUGAGCUUAACCAAUGUAAAAGUGAAAUAGCUCUAGAAAAGAGUGGGGUUAUUCCGGCCGUAAAGCUGCAUUUAAGAACAAGUAUGCAAAUAUUAAACAGCAUAAUAUACACACAAUAUAAACCAGAAGUAUGCACUUCUCUGCAAACCUGUAUAUUGAAUAUGUCACAUAUAUAACUACAACAAUUCCUGUGAAAUACAACAAAUAUUGAAGAAGAAAAAAACAAACCACAUAUUCAGUAAACUACAGAUCUUGCACAAAUUGGUACUGUGUGCAAAAGUUAAUUAAUCGAACUUUGCCUAUAUAACAAACUCCAAUUAUCACAUCCAGAGAGGAUCUAUUAUGGGACAUACCAGUUCAUAGACUGCAACCAACUGCAACCAAAUAUACAUAAUAUACACGCUGUGUUCUAUAAACCCCUGGAGCCAGGAAGGUUGAUCCACUGAAGUUGAAGUUCGACCUCGCCACAUUCCACAUUUCUCAAUCUUAGGCACAUAUCUUGCACAACCUGACCAUCUUUCCAUACCAC